UCCAAUUACCGAGUCAACCACUGAUCCUUUCCAUUUGGAGAAUCGUCUGUCUCCUGCCAAGAUAAAAUUUCAUUCAGCUUAUGGGUACACUGAAGUUAUGCAAUUGAUGAGGUAGUAUUAUUCUGUGAUCUUUAUUGUAGGGUAGUCUUGAAAAUAUUUUACUUAGCCUUUUGAAGAUAUAAGGUUGCCUCGUAAUAACUAAGUUAGAGAGAUGGCCUCAGUAAGAUAUUUUAUUUAUUUAUUUAUUUUUAUUUUGAUUUUGCUUUCUUCCGUUCUCUUCUCGAAACAGUAAGAGAUUGUUUGUCCUGUGCAUGAUCUGUAAGGAGGUAAAAUAUUGGUUGGAUGGUCUGGAAAAGGCAUAGUUAUUAGUUGGAUCUAAUUACUAUCAACAACUAGGUAGUUAGUUUAAAUAAAUACCUUGGACAAGAUGCAUGCGGGCUAUGAAUGAAUCCACUCGACCACGGAAGACUCUUCUUUCUUCUUCCCACCGUUUUUGUUUAUCCUCAUCCAUGGUUUCUGCACUCUCACUUCCUUCACUACCCAUUAACAGGUUCCAUAACCUAUUUGUCUCUGGAUCAAGGUCGACUUUGGGACGUGGUCGUCGUUUUUUGACUGGUUCAAAUGCCUCGUAUGGAACUACAACGCCAUCUCCUGCGUAUGGAACAAGAGCAUUUCCCACUUCCUUACUGAUCUGUAGGUUUUUCAUACCAUCUAUGAUAUCAUCAACUGAAAAUAUAUUUCUCUUAUAUUCUCGUGAGCCUGCAGAGAGAACAGAGAUAAAAUAUUUAGUUUUUGAUGGAGCAAAUUAAAUUAUACAUAGACAGGAGAGAUUGCUGGAAGAUGUGUACAUGAGUCAUUUGUCAAUUCAUAUCCAUAACCCUGUAUAUUUCUGGUCUCCUGAUGUACUACUCUACGUGUACUAGACAUUUUGUUUUCUGGUGUCUUUCUGGUGUACUGUCUCUUUGCGGACACACGAGCAGGUGCAUCUGACAUCUCAUUUCUUCUUAUAACUUUAGGGCCUCCAUGGGAAGUGAACAACAUAUGACAAUUAGCAAUUGCAGUAAGGGAGCUAUUGUAUUGUGCUUCAGCAAAAGGACGAGAUUCUAUGUCUG
RNAcentral lists this long non-coding RNA (1112 nucleotides) under Salvia miltiorrhiza (redroot sage). RNAcentral's name for it is "long non-coding RNA (SMIL_LNC007900)". Lineage: Eukaryota; Viridiplantae; Streptophyta; Magnoliopsida; Lamiales; Lamiaceae. The record is from RNAcentral.